UACGAAGGGGGCUAGCGUUGUUCGGAUUUACUGGGCGUAAAGCGCACGUAGGCGGAUUGGUCAGUUAGGGGUGAAAUCCUGGAGCUCAACUCCAGAACUGCCUUUAAUACUGCCAGUCUCGAGUCCGGAAGAGGUAAGUGGAACUCCUAGUGUAGAGGUGGAAUUCGUAGAUAUUCGCAAGAACACCAGUGGCGAAGGCGGCUCACUGGCCCGAUACUGACGCUGAGGUGCGAAAGCGUGGGGAGCAAACAGG
This 253-nucleotide ribosomal RNA is filed under the name uncultured bacterium. RNAcentral describes it as "partial 16S ribosomal RNA". It matches the Rfam family "Bacterial small subunit ribosomal RNA", at positions 524 to 776 of the family's 1533-position model. The record is from RNAcentral.